AUUUGGUUAGGUUAGUUGACAGCGUUUUUUCACAGCGGCGGGGAAUGGCCUGGUUAAAUCGGAGGGUAGAUGGAGGAGAAAGUGGGCAUCCUGAGGUUUAGUGUGGAUUGGUGUUGCACGUGGUUGGUAGGUUCGAGCCCGUCGGUGGCUGUGAACCUGGGGGUGUGGUGGUGUCUUGGUACACCCUACACUGGAACUGGUGGGUAGCAGUGUCUUGGUACACCCCUACAAUGGAUAUGGUGGGUAGCGGUGUCUUGGUACACCCCUACAAUGGAUAUGGUGGGUAGCGGUGUCUUGGUACACCCCAACAAUUUAACCUGGUGGAUAUGUCGUCAUAUUGGGCAGCCAGUUUCUGUAUUAACAUGUUAUUUAGAUUGUUAUCUAUUGUUAUUAUUGUGGGGUCAUUGCUAGGGGUAUGUUAUGUAUAUGGGGGGAUGUUAACUUUAAUAAGAUUUGUUGGCAAUGAC
This is a non-coding RNA of Pelobates cultripes (western spadefoot toad), 467 nucleotides long. The record is from the annotation of a GenBank genome assembly. Lineage: Eukaryota; Metazoa; Chordata; Amphibia; Anura; Pelobatidae.